This 253-nucleotide ribosomal RNA is filed under the name uncultured bacterium. Its description in RNAcentral is "partial 16S ribosomal RNA". It matches the Rfam family "Bacterial small subunit ribosomal RNA", at positions 524 to 776 of the family's 1533-position model. The record is from RNAcentral.
GACAGAGGAUGCAAGCGUUAUCCAGAAUUAUUGGGCGUAAAGCGUAUGUAGGUGGCUUUUCAAGUCCGCCAUCAAAUCCUAGGGCUCAACCUUGGACAGGCGGUGGAAACUACCAAGCUAGAGUAUGGUAGGGGCAGAGGGAAUUUCCGGUGGAGCGGUGAAAUGCAUUGAGAUCGGAAAGAACACCAACGGCGAAAGCACUCUGUUGGGCCGACACUGACACUAAGAGACGAAAGCUAGGGGAGCAAAUGGG